UGCCCCUUUGACCCCACAAGAAUCUAUGAUACAGCCUUGGCUCUCUGGAUCCCUUCUUUGCUCAUGUCUGCAGGGGAGGCUGCUCUAUCUGGUUACUGCUGUGUGGCUGCACUCACUCUACGUGGAGUUGGGCCCUGCAGGAAGGACGGACUUCAGGGGCAGCUAGAGGAAAUGACAGAGCUUGAAUCUCCUAAAUGUAAAAGGCAGGAAAAUGAGCAGCUACUGGAUCAAAAUCAAGAAAUCCGGGCAUCACAGAGAAGUUGGGUUUAGGACAGGUAAUGGGCCUUGAAGGUGGUGGCCCGGGUAAGAGUGGGGGCAGGGAAGUGCUCUUAGAACUGGGUCUAGGUCUUGCCAUGCUGCUUUCCCCUCUGACCUGGGUUGGUUCUCCCCUCUGUCCAGCAGGUGCUGUUCCGAGACUCAGUCCUAAAGGGUUUUUUUCCCACUAAGCAAGGGGCCCUGACCUCGGGAUGAGAUAACAAAUUAUAAUAAAGUAACUUCUCUUUU
This 504-nucleotide small RNA is filed under the name Pongo abelii (Sumatran orangutan). RNAcentral's name for it is "retained intron". The record is from RNAcentral. Lineage: Eukaryota; Metazoa; Chordata; Mammalia; Primates; Hominidae.